This is a long non-coding RNA of Gorilla gorilla gorilla (western lowland gorilla), 1763 nucleotides long. RefSeq lists it as uncharacterized. NCBI's taxonomy places the organism in Eukaryota, Metazoa, Chordata, Mammalia, Primates, Hominidae. The record is from RefSeq and is a predicted model, not a curated record. The transcript is spliced from 2 exons.
UACCUUAGGAGUUGAUCAAGGAUCAGGCAGUUCAUUUAGCUGUCAUGUCUCCUUAGUCUUCUUUAAUCCAAACAUUUUCUCAGCCUUUGUCUUUUGUGACAUCAACAUUUUGAAAAAUUUAAGCCAGUUUAUAUAUAUGUAUUUGUUUGAUGUUUCCUCAAAAUUAGAUUUAUACUGAAAUUUGGACAGGUAGAUUGUCUCUCAUGGUACAUAAGCUUCACACCAACAUCUCCUAAAUCUUUUUUUCCUUCAAAUUAUUUAAUCUAGUCAAGAGAUUUGGCAGUUGUACAGCUUUUCCACUAAACAGCCCUGUGUAACUUGGGAUUUUUCAGGCACACAGUAACUUUCUUUGACUUGCUACAUCUUGGUGUAUAAAGACAUCUCAAGAGCUAAUUAUCCAAGGGCUUUCAGAACUCAGGCUGCACACCUAUGACCAUCUGAUCUUCAACAAAGCUGACAAAAACAAGCAACGGGGGAAGGACUUCCUAAUCAAUAAAUGGUGCUGGGAUAACUGGCUAGCCAUGUGCAGAAGAUUGAAGCUGAACCCCUUCCUUGCGCUAUAUAUGAAAAUCAGCUCAAGAUAGAUUAAAGAGUUAAAUGUGAAAUCCAAAACUAUAAAAACCCUGUAAGACAACCUAGGCAAUACCAUCCUGGACACAGGAACAGGCAAACAUUUCAUGACAAAUACACCAAAAGAAAUUGCAACAAAAGCAAAAAUUGACAAAUGGGAUCUAAUUCAACUUAAGAGCUUCUGCACAGCAAAAGAAACUAUCAGAGUAAAGAGUCAAUCUACAGAAUGGGAGAAAAUUUUUACAAACUACGCAUUAGAAAAAAGUCUAAUAUCCAGCAUCUAUAAGGAAUUAAACAAAUUUACAAGAGAAAAAUAAAUAUCCCCAUUACAAAGUGGGCAAAAGUCAUGAACAGACACUUCUCAAAAGAAGACAUACAUGUGGUCAACCAGCAUCUGAAAAAAUCCAAUAUCACUGAUCAUUAGAGAAAUGCAAAUCAAAACCACAAUGAGAUACCAUCUGACACCAGUCAGAAUGGCUAUUAUAAAAAGUUAAACAAACAAACAAAAAACAACCCAACAGAUGCUGGUGAGGUUGCAGAGAAAUGGGAACACUUAUAUACUGUUGGUGGGAGUGUAAAUUAGUUCAGUCAUCAUGGAAAGCAGUAUGGCAAUUCCUCAAAGAACUAAAAACAGAACUACCAUUCAACCCAGCAAUCCCAUUACUGGGUAUAUACCCAAAGGAGUAUAAAUCAUUCUACCAUAAAGACACAUACACAUGUAUGUUCACUGCAGCACUAUUCACAAUAGCAAAGACAUGCAAUCAACUUAAAUGCUCAUCAAUGACAGACUGGAUAAAGAAAAUGUGGCACAUAUACACCACGGAAUAUGAUGCAGCCAUAAAAAAGAACAAGACCAUGUCUUUUAUGGGAACAUGAGUGGAGAUGGAGGCUAUUAGCCUUAGCAAACUAACAAAGGAAUAGAAAACCAAAUACCACGUGUUCUCACUUACAGGUGGAAGCUAAAUGAUGAGAACUCAUGAACACAAGGAAGGGAACAACAGACACGGGGGUCUACUGGAGGGUGGAGGGUAGGAGGAGGGAGAGGAGCAGAAAGAUAACUAUUGGGUACUGGGCUUAAUAACUGGGUAAUGAAAUAAUCUGUGCAACAAACCCCUGUGACAGAAGUUUACCUGUAUAACAAACCUUCACAUGUACUCUUGAACCUAAAAUAAAAGUUAAAAAUGAACACAAAA